This 309-nucleotide long non-coding RNA is filed under the name dengue virus type 2. Its description in RNAcentral is "Dengue virus 2 partial sfRNA1". The stretch from base 243 to 308 matches the Rfam family "Flavivirus DB element". Lineage: Riboviria; Orthornavirae; Kitrinoviricota; Flasuviricetes; Amarillovirales; Flaviviridae. The record is from RNAcentral.
CAGAAGUCAGGUCGGAUUAAGCCAUAGUACGGGAAAAACUAUGCUACCUGUGAGCCCCGUCCAAGGACGUUAAAAGAAGUCAGGCCACUACAAGUGCCAUAGCUUGAGUAAACUAUGCAGCCUGUAGCUCCACCUGAGAAGGUGUAAAAAAUCUGGGAGGCCACAAACCAUGGAAGCUGUACGCAUGGCGUAGUGGACUAGCGGUUAGAGGAGACCCCUCCCUUACAAAUCGCAGCAACAAUGGGGGCCCAAGGUGAGAUGAAGCUGUAGUCUCACUGAAAGGACUAGAGGUUAGUGGAGACCCCCCCG